This 433-nucleotide ribosomal RNA is filed under the name uncultured bacterium. RNAcentral's name for it is "partial 16S ribosomal RNA". It matches the Rfam family "Bacterial small subunit ribosomal RNA", at positions 29 to 507 of the family's 1533-position model. The record is from RNAcentral.
AACGAACGCUGGCGGCAUGCCUAACACAUGCGAGUCGAACGAGACCUUCGGGUCUAGUGGCGCACGGGUGCGUAACGCGUGGGAACCUGCCCUUAGGUUCGGAAUAACUCCCCGAAAGGGGUGCUAAUACCGGAUAAUGUCUUCGGACCAAAGAUUUAUCGCCUUUGGAUGGGCCCGCGUUGGAUUAGCUAGUUGGUAGGGUAAAAGCCUACCAAGGCGACGAUCCAUAGCUGGUCUGAGAGGAUGAUCAGCCACACUGGGACUGAGACACGGCCCAGACUUCUACGGGGGGGAGGAGGUGGGAAUAUUGGACAAGGGGGCAAAGGCUUGACCCGCCAUGCCGGGGGGGGGAAGGAGGGCUUAGGGGUGUAAAGCUCUUUUUACCGGGAAGAUAAUGACCGUACCGGGGGAAUAAGCUCCGGCUAACUCCGUG